AACCUCCGCAAUGUGAGAAAUCGCGACGGGGGGAUCCCAAGUGCCAUUCUUAACGGGAUGGCUUUUCAUUAGUGUAAAGAGCUUUUGGGAUAAGGGCUGGGCAAGACCGGUGCCAGCCGCCGCGGUAACACCGGCAGCUCUAGUGGUAGCAGUUUUUAUUGGGCCUAAAGCGUCCGUAGCCGGUUUAAUAAGUCUCUGGUGAAAUCCUGUAGCUUAACUGUGGGAAUUGCUGGAGAUACUAUUAGACUUGAGACCGGGAGAGGUUAGAGGUACUCCCAGGGUAGAGGUGAAAUUCUGUAAUCCUGGGAGGACCGCCUGUUGCGAAGGCGUCUAACUGGAACGGUUCUGACGGUGAGGGACGAAAGUUAGGGGCGCGAACCGGAUUAGAUACCCGGGUAGUCCUAACUGUAAACGAUGCGGACUUGGUGUUGGGGUGGCUUUGAGCUGCUCCAGUGCCGAAGGGAAGCUGUUAAGUCCGCCGCCUGGGAAGUACGGUCGCAAGACUGAAACUUAAAGGAAUU
Molecule: ribosomal RNA, 521 nt
Filed under: uncultured bacterium
Lineage: Bacteria
Description: bacterial SSU rRNA
Rfam family: Archaeal small subunit ribosomal RNA
Source: RNAcentral